Molecule: long non-coding RNA, 746 nt
Organism: Cyanistes caeruleus (blue tit)
Lineage: Eukaryota; Metazoa; Chordata; Aves; Passeriformes; Paridae
Source: RefSeq, a predicted model, not a curated record
UCUCUGCUGCUUAAGCCAUUGUCAUAAUCCACCUGUGUGUCAAAUUCAGGGAUUGUGUUAUAAUAUCAUUACAUACACGGAGAUGCCAGAGACUCUGGAAAAAUCUCUUUACUUUGCCAAAGCAAAUAAAUGAAGAAAGUCUCCAAGGACAAGAGCAACACAAUGUUCUUAUGGCACAAGGAUAAUAAUAAUUUUGAAGACCUAAUGCUCACCAAGACACUGAAAACAAGAUCCCAGGCAGAGUUUGAGUUCAUUCAGGAAAUGACAAAACCUGACGCCACUUCUGAGCUGAAAUCACUGGGAGCUGAAAUGAGCUGGGAUAUAUGAGGAUUGCAACUCUGUCCCAAGGCAAAGUCAAACAGCUUAGCUCUGUGUGGGCUUCCCCUUCGACAGAGGAAGAAAGCAGUCCUUUCAGAGCUGAGAAUCAUCCCUUGCUACAUCAGUGGCCAGCAGCACUGUCUCCCAGCAGAUCUGGAUGGGAGAUCCCUGGGUGGUCAGAGUUGGGUCUGUUUUGGAUGGUUGUAUCUCCUUCCACACAACUGCCCUGUAGUCAGAGCAGGCCAAGUCGUGGGCCAUGCUUGGGUGCUCUGUCAAUCAAAUUGCACAUGCAACUCAUAUUUGGACUGAAUCAUCAGUAAAGAUCAGUGUCUAGUUUUACAGAAAAGGUAAUUUUUUUAAAUUAAGAUUUUUUUAUGUGGUCUUUUUUUCUGGCUAAGUUAAUAAAAGGUUUUAGUUGUAUUCCCUUA